ACAAGGCACUGCAGAACUCUCAGGAUAAGUAGUUCUGGAACACUGUAAACACAGAAUACAGCCCACUGGUUGGGGCAUCAGAAUUCCUGUGGGGGUGCCCCGAGUAGCAGUCACAGAGAGGGGCCUUCGCUAAGCUGCUUUCAAUCCAGUCCACCUUUUUUUUAGCAUCUCCUUCAUGCCAGGCACUGUGUGGAGAGAUGGUGCUACAGAGGUAAACUAAUCCAGCUACAGUCCUUGCCUUCAUGGGCUUUCAGCAAAGUAAUCUACUCCUCACACUUAAUUCUCCUGAGAAGGCUUCCUGGAUACACUUGAGAAUGAACUCCACUUUGGUUAUACAGACACAUGGAACUCCAUCACUGCUGUUGCUGAGAAAAUAUCAAUGGCUACAUUAUUUUCAACUGCUGCCUAUGAGUUAUAUCAGAGAUUAAUUGAUCAGCUAAAUGAGAAAAUGCAGAGAAUACACAAGGAAUAAAUCGAUGAAGGAAAAAGUGUGCUGUGUCUUCUAUACCUGGGAUCAAUUGUGUUAC
This 527-nucleotide long non-coding RNA is filed under the name Homo sapiens (human). RNAcentral describes it as "HSALNT0305931". Lineage: Eukaryota; Metazoa; Chordata; Mammalia; Primates; Hominidae. The record is from RNAcentral.